Molecule: ribosomal RNA, 375 nt
Filed under: uncultured eukaryote
Lineage: Eukaryota
Description: SSU rRNA
Rfam family: Eukaryotic small subunit ribosomal RNA
Source: RNAcentral
AGCUCCAAUAGCGUAUAUUAAAGUUGUUGCGGUUAAAAAGCUCGUAGUUGGAUUUCUGUUGAGGUCAGCCGGUGUUCACUUCGUGAAUUAUUUGGUUUGGUCUCGGCAUCCUCUGAGGGAGCACUUUCCUUUACCGGAUUGUGAGACUUCAGACUUUUACUUUGAGGAAAUUAGAGUGUUCACGGCAGGCAAGUGCUUUGAAUACAUUAGCAUGGAAUAAUAAUAUAGGACCUUUGUUCUAUUUUGUUGGUUUCUAGAGCUUAGGUAAUGAUUAAUAGGGACAAUUGGGGGCAUUCGUAUUAACGCGUCAGAGGUGGAAUUCUUGGAUUGCGUUACGACGAACUACUGCGAAAGCAUUUGCCAAAGAUGUUUUCA